AGUGAACCGGGAAAAGCUCAAAUUUAAAAUCUGGCGGUCUUCAUGGCCGUCCGAGUUGUAAUUUAGAGAAGCGUUAUCCACGCUGGACCGUGUACAAGUCUCCUGGAAGGGAGCAUCAUAGAGGGUGAGAAUCCCGUCUUUGACACGGACUACCAGGGUUUUGUGAUACGCUCUCAACGAGUCGAGUUGUUUGGGAAUGCAGCUCAAAGUGGGUGGUAAAUUCCAUCUAAAGCUAAAUAUUGGGGAGAGACCGAUAGCGCACAAGUACCGUGAGGGAAAGAUGAAAAGAACUUUGGAAAGAGAGUUAAACAGUACGUGAAAUUGUUGAAAGGGAAACGCUUGAAGUCAGUCGUCCUGGGCGGAAAUCAGCCUUGCUUUUGCUUGGUUUACUUUCUGUUCGGGGGGUCAACGUCAAUUUUGGUCGGUGGACAAAGGCUUGGAGAAUGUGGCACCUUCGGGUGUGUUAUAGCUCUGGGUCGGUAUACAUCGGCUGGGAUUGAGGAACUCAGCACGCCUUUAUUGGCCGGGUACUUGUACCACGUACGUGCUUAGGAUGUUGGCAUAAUGGCUUUAAUCGACCCGUCUUGAAACACGGACCAAGGAGUCUAACAUGCAUGCGAGUGUUUGGGUGGAAAACUCGAACGCGUAAUGAAAGUGAAGGUUAAGAUCCCUGUCGUGGGGAGCAUUGACGCCCGGAGCAGACCUUUUGUGACGCUUCCGCGGUAGAGCAUGUAUGUUGGGACCCGAAAGAUGGUGAACUAUGCCUGAAUAGGGUGAAGCCAGGGGAAACCCUGGUGGAAGCUCGUAGCGAUUCUGACGUGCAAAUCGAUCGUCGAAUUUGGGUAUAGGGGCGAAAGACUAAUCGAACCAUUUUGAAACAAAGUUACUUGGUGGUUAAGAGGGGGGCUGAAAAGUCACCCUAGUAAGAGUUGAGGAUUGCGACACUGUCAAAUUGCGGGGACCUCCUUAGAGCUCUUUGCUACCGCCUUUAGGCUGAAAAGUCAAUUGGCACCUCGGCGUAAUGGCCUUGGGUAUGGUAAUAACGCACAAGAGAUUGGAAAAUCCGCAGCCAAGUGCUAAGGGUAGUAACUGACCUAUGCAUGCUGUUCACAGACUAGAUGGCAGUGGGUGUUGCAUUUCACAAAAUGCAAUGCUUAAGAUAUAGUCGGUCCCGCUGCGAAAGCAGACCGGUGGAUGAAGGUUAAC
Molecule: ribosomal RNA, 1206 nt
Filed under: Roridomyces pruinosoviscidus
Lineage: Eukaryota; Fungi; Basidiomycota; Agaricomycetes; Agaricales; Mycenaceae
Description: partial large subunit ribosomal RNA
Rfam family: Eukaryotic large subunit ribosomal RNA
Source: RNAcentral